Sciurus carolinensis (gray squirrel) is the source of this 77-nucleotide non-coding RNA. The record is from the annotation of a RefSeq genome assembly. Lineage: Eukaryota; Metazoa; Chordata; Mammalia; Rodentia; Sciuridae.
GGCUGAGGAGAUAGCUCAGUUGGCAGAGUGCUUGCCUGGCAAGCAGGAGGUCCUGGGUUCAAUCCCCAGCACUGCCA